GACGUAGGGGGCCAGCGUUGCUCGGAAUUAUUGGGCGUAAAGAGCUCGUAGGCGGUCUGUCGCGUCGAAUGUGAAAACCCGGGGCUCAACUCCGGGCCUGCAUUCGAUACGGGCAGACUAGAGUUCGGUAGGGGAGUCUGGAAUUCCUGGUGUAGCGGUGAAAUGCGCAGAUAUCAGGAGGAACACCGGUGGCGAAGGCGGGACUCUGGGCCGAUACUGACGCUGAGGAGCGAAAGCGUGGGGAGCAAACAGG
RNAcentral lists this ribosomal RNA (253 nucleotides) under uncultured bacterium. Its description in RNAcentral is "partial 16S ribosomal RNA". It matches the Rfam family "Bacterial small subunit ribosomal RNA", at positions 524 to 776 of the family's 1533-position model. The record is from RNAcentral.